GUCUUAUUGAUGUAUUUGGGUCUUUCAUCAUUAUAAACAUUUACAACUUUUAAUUAAUUACACUUGGGAUUCUAGACGUAAAAAAGGUUUUCAAAACCUGAAAAUUUUAGAUCUGGAUUAGAAGUUUCUAAUGUAAAAGCUACGAUUUGAAGUAAUAAGCAUUUAUUUGAGACUGCUCAACAAUUCAGUAAACCCUUUGUUUUAAAUGGGAAAAGUUGAAAAAACCACAAAUUAAAAACGUUUUGCUAGGAAGCUUAAUCGCAUCGAAAAUUGGCUUCGCAGUUUGAUACAACAAAGGGUUGCGACUCAAGCCGAUAAAUCACUAAAAGAACGCCCUUCGCGACAGCUUAACAUGAGGAUCUGCUUUUACAUAGACACACAAAUAGAAACAUCCAUGGUACAAAGCCACAAGGAUACAAGGAUAAAAAAAAAAACAGAAAUUAAUAUGAUUUUUGUCAACAUCAACAUCAUAAGA
Episyrphus balteatus (marmalade hoverfly) is the source of this 475-nucleotide long non-coding RNA. RefSeq lists it as uncharacterized. The transcript is spliced from 2 exons. NCBI's taxonomy places the organism in Eukaryota, Metazoa, Arthropoda, Insecta, Diptera, Syrphidae. The record is from RefSeq and is a predicted model, not a curated record.